UGAGACACGAGGCACCUCUGAAUGAUCCCCC
Molecule: non-coding RNA, 31 nt
Filed under: Homo sapiens (human)
Lineage: Eukaryota; Metazoa; Chordata; Mammalia; Primates; Hominidae
Source: RNAcentral